UAAGUGAACGUAUCCGAAUCC
Molecule: non-coding RNA, 21 nt
Filed under: Caenorhabditis elegans
Lineage: Eukaryota; Metazoa; Nematoda; Chromadorea; Rhabditida; Rhabditidae
Source: RNAcentral